GACGAACGCUGGCGGCGUGCUUAACACAUGCAAGUCGAACGGGCCCGCUCUCUUUUUUGGGGGUGGGUUGAGUGGCGAACGGGUGAGUAUCACGUGAGUAACCUGCCCCCUGCUCCUGGAUAACUGCUUGAAAGGGCGGCUAAUACGGGGUGUGCCGGCUGGUCCGCAUGGGCCCGGUCGGGCUAGUUUCAUCUUCGGGUGUUUCGGUGGGGGAUGGGCUCGCGGCCUAUCAGGUUGUUGGCGGGGUGAUGGCCCACCAAGGCGGUGACGGGUAGCCGGCCUGGGAGGGUGGGCGGCCAGACUGGGACUGAGACACGGCCCAGGCUGCGGCGGGAGGCAGCGGUGGGGGGUGUUGCAAAAGGGGCGGAAGCCUGAAGCCGCGACGUCGCGUGAGGGAUGGAGGCCUUCGGGUUGUGAAACUCUUUCGCAGGUGGGGAAGGCCCUGUCCGUUGCGGCGGGGUUGACGGUAGCCGGGUAUGAAGCGCCGGCUAACUACGUG
RNAcentral lists this ribosomal RNA (499 nucleotides) under uncultured bacterium. RNAcentral's name for it is "partial 16S ribosomal RNA". It matches the Rfam family "Bacterial small subunit ribosomal RNA", at positions 28 to 507 of the family's 1533-position model. The record is from RNAcentral.